GCUGUUAAGGGUUCGUAGUUGAAUUGAGGGCAGUUCAGGAGUUAAUCUAAGUCCCUACCUCCGGUAGCGACCGAUUCUCUGUCUGUCCGUGAACAUCCGAAACAAAUUUCACGGGAACGUCCGCCUCCCUUUUCGCAGGCAACGUCUGCGGGGGGCCGCCCGUGUUUUUACUGUGACUAAAAAGCGCGACCAAAGCAGUCGUUCGACAUGUAUUUGAAAGCAUGGGAUAACAACGAGCAGCCUACGGAGUUCCGUUUCGGCUUUUGUUGGUUUUAAAUCUCUGUGGGAGACUAUGGCUCGCAUGACAAGUGGCUCGGGGUUUCCAUCCCCACACCUCCUCUUCGUUUUGCUUUCGGGCUGCGUUGGGGCUUGCGUGGUCCAGGAAUGAAGGAGGGUUGUUCGGGGGAGGACGUCUUGAGCGUGAGAGGUGAAAUUCUUAGACCGCCCAAAGACGAACUACAGCGAAGGCAUUCUCCAGGAUACCUUCAUCAAUCAAGAACCAAAGUG
This 507-nucleotide ribosomal RNA is filed under the name uncultured kinetoplastid. RNAcentral's name for it is "bacterial SSU rRNA". It matches the Rfam family "Eukaryotic small subunit ribosomal RNA", at positions 615 to 991 of the family's 1831-position model. Lineage: Eukaryota; Euglenozoa; Kinetoplastea. The record is from RNAcentral.